This 477-nucleotide ribosomal RNA is filed under the name uncultured bacterium. RNAcentral describes it as "partial 16S ribosomal RNA". It matches the Rfam family "Bacterial small subunit ribosomal RNA", at positions 29 to 507 of the family's 1533-position model. The record is from RNAcentral.
AUGAACGCUGGCGGCGUGCUUAACACAUGCAAGUCGAACGGGAAACCUUUUAAUGAAGCUUCGGCAGAUUUAGCUGGUUUCUAGUGGCGGACGGGUGAGUAACGCGUGGGUAACCUGCCUUAUACAGGGGGAUAACAGUCAGAAAUGACUGCUAAUACCGCAUAAGCGCACAGGACCGCAUGGUCCGGUGUGAAAAACUCCGGUGGUAUAAGAUGGACCCGCGUUGGAUUAGCUUGUUGGUGGGGUAACGGCUCACCAAGGCGACGAUCCAUAGCCGGCCUGAGAGGGUGAACGGCCACAUUGGGACUGAGACACGGCCCAGACUCCUACGGGAGGCAGCAGUGGGGAAUAUUGCACAAUGGGGGAAACCCUGAUGCAGCGACGCCGCGCGAAGGAAGAAAUAUCUCGGUAUGUAAACUUCUAUCAGCAGGGAAGAUAGUGACGGUACCUGACUAAGAAGCCCCGGCUAACUACGUG